UGGCCUAUGAAUCGAACUAAUCAAAAGGUACUUUUCAUCAGGGGAAGGAACCAUAGAUGUGUAAACAGCUGGUGUACCAAUCUCCUUCACUGUACCAUCCAAAGAAGCCAAAACAAGUUGAGAGGUGGCAUAGUAAUCAAAUAAAUCCUCAUCAUACUCAUCCUUCAGCAAAUCCUGGAAUGUUCUAAGUUGAAUGACAUUUUUCUGCUCAUUGGAUUGAAUCUUGGGGCCAGAAGGAACCAAAGGUUUCUUUGGUGGGUCUCCACGGGACAACGGAAUAGUACAAACUAAGAGGGUAGAGUUAUCCACCCAAACAUAAUUAUCAAACACUGCAUUCAGAUAAACAUCUGGUGACUGAAACAGCGGCCUAGCUGUUCCAGUUUCCACAUCAGCAACCCACACUCUAAGCUUACUACUGUUACUCUCCUCUUCCUCAACACGAACACUAAAGGCUAAAUGUAGACCAUCAUUUGACCAAGUAACAAAAUUAAUCUUAGCACCAUCAGGGAAUCCUCUAACCUUUUUUUCCGGUCCCAAGGAGCCAUCAGGCAUUAGUUGAUGGAUUCCUAUACCAGUGUAGAAAGACAUUCGGCUCCUCGUGUUGCACUUCCCAUCAAUUCGAAUACCAGCAAGCUUUUCCUUUGGUCUUGCUAGCUCUGCCAGCCGACGCAAAGAUCUCCGCUUGAGAAAAAGAAUUUUAUCCCUUAACGGUGAAAAUGACAGUUUGGGGCGAGAAGUAGCAUAAAAAAUAUCUCUAAUUUCCGGCGGUGGAAGACGAAAUUUAACUCCGAUUGCAACAUUCUCUACAUCAAAUUCAAAAUUCAAUUUUUUAAGUAACUAACUUGUAACUAAUAGCAAAUUCAAAUUAAAGAUGUUAAAAUUUUCGAAGUACCAUCGUCUUCUUCGGUGAAGGUAACCGAAGUGUUCGCAGAGCCAUUGCCGGCGGUGCCGUCUUCAGCGAAAACAGAGUUGACGGGAACCAGGUGGGGGAAUCGAGAGGCGCCAAUGGCUGGUUUGGAGGCGUUUCGAGAAUGAGUUUUGAGGUGGGCAGGUGUACGAAGGGAUGAAGAAGGGAAUCUGGCAUUUAGAUUCAGGUUAGGGGAGCGAGAAGGAGGUAAAAGAGAGAGGGAGGGGAGAGAGAGACGAUGAUAAACUUUAUUAUAUCGCAUCAUUCAUUUCUUUAUUUUGAUUGAUUAGUUUUUCUUUUGCUUUUCCAGGCGUGUACUCAUCAGUCAUCUUGUCGUUAUUAACAAUGUCCAUCCUUCGCCCAAAAGGAAUACGUAUUUGUGAUAGACCCCUAUCUGUAAUUCCCCCUAACGUAUUUCCUUCGGAGUUUCUUAUCUGCUGCUAUGGAGUGCACCCUUGUUACGCUAUGCUCUUCAUCAUAUCUUCUAACUUUGUUAGAUUUGUACGACUAAGUCAACAAACUAGUCACCAAAAUGCUGAAAUCAAAUAUAUAAAGGACCUAAAAUAGUUGCCUCAUUUGAUUGAUAAAAAUAUACAUGUUGUUACCAUAUAUAUGAAACUCUUUCUUUUUUAUUUUAAUUUCGUUACUCAAAAAAUUUCUUACUCUUCACUUAUCGAAAUAGUUUUUAUUCAAAAUUUUUUGAGUGUGAAUCACAAUAUUAAAAUAAGUGAUUGUAGACUUUAUAUUCAAAUCUUACUCUAAGUUUGAAGAGAUCUUUUUUAUUCUACCAAUAAGGGUCUGUUGGAAGUUCAGCUAGCUCUAAAGAAAUGUGAAGAUCAAAAUUAAUAAGUUAAGUCACUCCACCAAGUGUUGUAAGGUGGUUCAGGAUCCAAUGUGCCAGGUGAUUGUGUAAUUCUUUUAUGUAUUUUGAAAAGUAUCACCACCAUGGUUUUCUUGAAAGGGAAAAGUUUUACAGAGAUUAGGAUGUUGUUGAUUUUGCAUAAUCAUUUUAACAGUAGCUUGUACUCAUGAAGAUAGAUUUGUAUAGAGAGUAUGGAUUGCACACAUACAUAUCAAAAUGAGAUUGGAAGAGGGCAAAAUUGUCAUGGAAUUCACAAGGGCAGUGAAAGAAAAAAAUAACAUGAUAAUGUUAGGAAAGAUGUUUGGUGGUAAAAUACCACUUAUGGAGGGGUUUAAACCACUUUAAAAAAUUUCUUAAAUGAAUGUUUGUUUCAUAAAAGAAAUCAUUAUUGACAAAAGUGAUGUGGCAAAAUUGAGUUCAAAAUAGUUAAACUCAAUGGCAAUGGUGUAGGGUUGGCAUAAAUACCAUAAAAGAAUCAAAGCUUAUUUGAAUAAGCCUGCUAUAUGAGGGAUGUGAAACAAGUGAAGAAAAGAAAAUUAAUGAUGAAAACCAAUGGAUCUGAGGCUAUGAUCAGCUCUUUUUCUAAUAAGGAUAGCCUGUAUCUUGUAAAUAAGAUCAUGAGUAUGUCUUUCAAUUAUCUUUUUUGACAAUGAUCUGUUGAAUUUUAAGAAAAUUUUUGUGAACUGAAAAAAAUUGGUUGGAAAUCUGGAUCUAGAACAAAGGGUUGUAUUUUAGGUUGUAAAGGUAAGGAUAGAGAAAAAAAUUGGUUACGAUUUGAGGAAUAGGAUCAAGGUAAAGGUAAAGGUAAGGGAGUCAUCAUGCAAAUGACUGAAAUGAUCUGCAAGGUGUUUGAAAGAGGUUUUGGAGGAGAUCUGGUAAGUAUGUUUGGAAGAAGGUUAUCUUUACCUUUUAUAUGUACUGUGGUGAAAGAGUACUGUAAGAACCAUUGUGAUAGCCUGAGUAACUGUGUAUUUGGCAUCUAUUUCUUUUUAAAAUUGAGUAUCUAAUCAAAAGUUGACAUAUCUAAUUCCACAAGAAAGUGAUAUGCAAUGAGAUAAAAUUUAAAUCUUUGAAUUUCAUACUCUACAGCUAAAAUCUCUUUCAGUGUAGAGUGAUAAUGGAGUUUCGAAUAUUUGAAUUUUUCACUCUUGUAACCACAAAUCUGUCUGAUUCCAUCUUUUUCUUUCAAAAGAAUUGUUGACUAAAAUUGUUCACUUGCAUCUGUUUGCAAUAUCAUUUUUCCAUCUAAGGGAAUCUUUAAAGUUGAAAGUAAUUUUGCUUUUAUGUUCAAGGUAUGUACUGUAUUUAUCUGCUUCUAAGACUACAUGAGAGGUUCUUUCUUUAGCAUCUGUCUGAGAGGAUGAGUUAGCUGUGCAAGAUAUAAGAAAAAUUCACUCAUGUAAUUGACUGCACAAAGGAAUUGUUGUACUUGCUUUUUGAAAAUAUUUUCAUCAGGAAAAUAUGCAAGUGUCUGAGCAAUGUGGGGUUUAACUAUGUACUUUCCAUGCCUAAAAAAUCAAUUUUUGAGGCACCAAUAAUCAUCUUUUUCUCUGAAAGCAUUAUUUCAUACUGUUGAACAAUUUGGUGGAAUUUAUCUAAUAGCUGUGUAUGAGAUGUGACAUUUAGAGAAAACAGUAAGAUAUUAUCAAUGUAAAUUAAGGCAUUAUCAAGAAUUGGAGUAAAUAUUUUCGUCAUUGCUUUCUGAAACAAUGAAAGAAUAACUUUUAAUCCAAAAGUCAUAACUGUUCACUAAAAAUGAUGUUAAAGAAUGCAAAAUGUCAUUUUGUAUCUGUCCUGCGGAUGUAUACCUAAUUGUUAAAAUUAUGCUUUUAGGUCAAAUUUUGAGAAGACUUUUACAGUUGUCAAAUUUGCAAACAAAGUUUUUCAAUCUGAAAAAGGGAACUUAUCAUCUAUAAAAAAAAUAUUAAGAGACUUGUAAUUAAUCAUCAAUCUUAAUUUUUUACGAACUUGUUCAAACGCUUUUUUUAUUACCUUAUUAAAUCAUCGGCUAAAAGAUUAUGGAUCAAAUAAUUGGAUUUCCCUUAAAUGUAGUAUUAUUAAUCAUAUAUAUUAGUGAUUUAAAUACAUCUAUUAACAUUUAGUUAGCUAUAAUACUAGAUAUUAAUGGAAUUAAAUUUUUUUGACAAAUUGAUUGUAAUUAUUUAAUCCGCAUCUAAAAUAUAUUGACUUAGUUAUUUUAAUUAAAUAGUUCACAAUGUUAAAAUUAUGGACAGUGUUACAUGCAUUAACAUGUUGCACUCAAUUAAUGCAUUUAUUUUCAUGUUUUAUCUUAAAGAUUUAAAUGAAAAGUAUUAAAAUUUGUAUGAAUUAUAAUAAAAUUUGAAAACAAAGAUUUAUAUAAAUGAGGGAACAAAUUUUUUUAAUCCCUGUUGCCUGAUGGUAUACUAAAGCGCUUUUCCUGCUUAGUGUGGUUUUUUUUCUUCAAAUAUUUAUAAUUGUUUCGAAUUAAUUAUAAAAGAAUAAUCUUUAAAUUAAAAGAUAUUAUAAUUAAUAUUAACAAAAUAAUAAAUCGGAGAUAAUUAUUUUAAUUAUUAAUUUCUAUAAAUUUUUUUAAUUAUUGUGAGAGUAAAUUUAUAUGAAUCAUAAUAAAAUUAAAAAUAAAUUUUAUGUAAAUGAGUGAAAUGAUCCAAGAAAAUUUGUAAUCCUUGUUGCCUGUUGGUAUUUAUUGAUAUUUAUCGUGAGUAAUAAGUUUUAUAAGGAUUGAUCAAUAUAAUGACAAAAAAAAGGAUCUUUUUACUUCUUCAUUUUUAUCCAAUCUUCUAAUUUGUUAUCAUCUGAAAAUUGGAUACUAGUUGCAUAAUUCACUGUCUCAUUUAAAGAUGGAAUAUAAAUAAAUUCCGAAUCUUUUUACUUUUUUUUUUAAUUGUCCUCUCUUGGUUAUUAGAUUAUAAUUGGUAACAUAGACUUGAAAUUCCACGGAAUAUGAUUCGCAAAAAAAAAAAAUCACUUGAAAUUCAUCACCACUCACUGCAACUUAUGCUCUGUUUGGAUCCUGAUGAAUUAUGCAUUAAAAAAAAAGGGCAAAAGAAAGAAUAUCUCGGAAUUGAGGUUUUUCAAUUUUCCCUUUUGCUUGAUCAUCAAUAUUUUGUUUUAUUUAUGUUGACAUGGCAGAAAUCACAUGGAGAAAACUCCGGUGGCAGCGUAGGAAACUUGACAUCAAAUUCAAGCAGAGAGAACUGCUUCAAUAGAGGUAGAUAAGUUAUGCUUUUAGUUAUAUCAGUCAACUUAAAAUUUUACUUAUUGUAUUCAUUCUUGUUAUUUUAAAUUAAUGCUACAUUAUCUAUUUGUCCUUGAAUUUCACUAGCACGAUCAUUUUUAGAAAAAAAAAAAUGAAAUGCAACUUUUUUUUUAAUGACAUGCAGAUUUGAUAACUGUGAAUCUGUUGCAUUCAACUUGUCUGAACUGAAUUUAUUUUUUCUCAAACUGCUAGACAAGAUUCAAAUAAAUCAUAUUUAUAUUGUGUGGUGUGCACAGGAAAAAGUUAGAGAAGAACUGAAAGAAGCUAGAGAGUCAUAUUUCGGAGAUUUUGUCAGCUGCAUCAAGUAGGAAUGUCCUAUGUGUGGAGGAGAAUGGAUUUGGUAAAAUGCUUUCUUCAAGAAUAGAAAUCCCUCUAUGUAAGUAUACUGGAUUUGCUCAAGUUUCAGGAGAUAGAGACUAUGCUAAUGCUCUUGAAGUUGUAUCUCCAACAAGUGCCAAGCUUCCAUAUAUUGAGAAGUUCCCAACAUAUACAACAUGGAUAUUUUUGGACAAGUAUGUUGGAUUACUAUAUUAGUUGGCCUAACUUCAAGAAUUCUAUUCUGUCUACAUAUAUAUAUAUAUAUAUAUACAUGUAUAUAUGUAUGUAUUCGAUUAAAAUCAUGAAAUAAAUUACUUUUAAUUGGGGACAAUUUUUGGGGAGAUUUCACGCAAAGACUUAAUGACAUACUGGAGACCACUUUAUCCGAAAUGCUUAAUCUGUUAGGUCAUGAGCUAGCCAUGCUACUUAAGUCAUCUCAGGUCGAGGAUUAUAAGUUGGAGAGAUUUCAUGAAAGGGCUUGAUAACAUGUUAAACACCACUUGAUCCUAAAAGCUUAAGCCAUUAGGAAAAGCUAGGCAUGUUAUUUAAGCUUCUCAAGGUUUUGUUACUGUUAUUUAAUUCAAAGUUGGAGAUUUCAGCAGCAGAAGCUUCCACACAUGAAUCCACAACCUUUUCUCACCUCGUCUAGUUUUGCAUGAGAUUUUGUUUUUGCUCGUCUUAUCUUAAAUAUGCAACAUUCAGCACAGAAAUCAGAGAAUGGCCGAAUACCAAUCUGUUGUGGAGAGGAGACGUAUAUACUAUGACCAACAUGGCAGUGAAGCCUUAAUCUGUAGUGACAGUGAGGAAGAUAUUGCAGAGAGUGAGGAAGACAAACAUGAAUUCUCUGAGGGUGAAGAACGUAUUUUGUGGUAAGUAAAAUAAGAUGCAACCUCCGCACAUAAAUAAGGAAGAGUGAUAUUCAAUUUUUAAGAGAAACGUAGUGUAUAUACUUUCCUCGUGAAAAAAAAUGAAGUUGUGCACAGUUGCAUUCCGAAAGUUGAACUUCUUGUGCCUUGUUAUCAUCAUACUAGUCACAAGUGAACAACUACAGAAAUGCAAGUGGUAGACAUUGUUCAUAAUCUUUCAAUGCAUAAAUGUCAUUGGUCUUGUAAUGGUAAGAAGAUGGAGCGACACUGAUGUAAAACCAAGACAGCAAAAGCGUGCUAGGUUAAAAGACUGCUGCUGUUUCUAUUUGCUGUGUUAGUCUCUUUCUUCAUACUGGCAUGUAUUUCAUAUGGAGCUCAAAUUCUAUAUUAGCUAACUGAUGACAUACUGUCACCAUAAGAGAUGUUUAUUGGAUUUCUGAUGAACUGCGGAUAAGUUCUUUUCUAUUUUAUUCUAUGAAAAAAACCAGUCAAUCAUUUAGGAUUAACAAUGUUGAAUUUGGCAGGACCGUCCGUCAGGAGUACGGUCUAGGUGAGGAAAUACUGAGGGCCGUCAGCCAAUUUAUUGGAGUAACCAUAUCUGAAAUCCAGGUAUCCAGCGUUAUUCGCAUGUGAACUUGGUUGCCUUAUUUUGGAUGAUGCUUGGUUUCUUUAAUCCCUUCCUUCCAAGGUUUUUGUUUAAAUACCGUUUUUCUUAAUAUUUAUUAGAAACUUUUUUCUUAUGAGAUUGUCAGGAACGGCAUGGCACGCUCGCAGACAAAUACAGUGACCAAAACAUUAAAGAUUCGGAGGAUUCUGGAUCUGAAAAGGGUAUGUCUUUGGACAAGAGCCUCAGUGCUGCUUUAGAUUCUUUUGAUAAUCUGUUUUGCCGUCGUUGCUUGGUACAUAGUCUCUAACCAGUCAUUCUUAAUGUUAUUUGUUAAAAAGAAGCAUUGGCAUGUGGAUAUCCUGUGCAGUUCUUUUGAAUUUUUUUAGCCCCCUUGCUGAUCUACUUUGUAUCUGACAGUUAUUUGACUGCCGUCUUCAUGGCUGUUCCCAAACUGUAAUUAAUCCUGAAAGCAAUGUGCUUCUUGUCUUUCAAUUUAACGCGAGUUUGUUUCAUUAGUUUAUCUGACUUGGAACCUAUUGCUUGACAGAUUGAAAAGCAGCCAUAUUGUUCUGAAUAUGAAGAUGACAGGAAGCCUUGCAGUGAUCAAUGUUACCUCCGGGUUUGGUUCCAAUUAUUCUUUUCUAAAAACUUAUGUCUGGAAUUGUCUUAUGAGUUGCUACUUCCAAAACCAUUGGAAGUGUAGGUUAAUGACAUUCAUGUUAAUAACUUUCUGGACUAAACUUCUCCAGUAUUCUCCAAAUAUUUGCAUUCUUUAUUGUUCUCUGGUGCUGUUCCUUGCCCUCAAAAGCUGGGUUCUGAUGCAAAAUCUAUUUGUCUAUAACUCUACAUUUUUUCCUAAAAUGCCUCCUAUAUAUGGUCCCUAUCUGCAACUCAUUCCAUCGUUUUGUAGUUUACUUUUUUAUUGCUCACCAAAGAGAAGAAGAUUAUUUUAGUGCUUAUAUGCGUACGUUUACUGAGAUAUGUUUGAUUUGGUGUGAAUUUGCACUUGUUCAUAUCCUUGGAGUACCUUUUAAUUUCUUUUCUAGUAUAUAUUUAUCGUUAUUAUCAUAUCCCAUAUUUAAUUUGUCUUUGGAUUUAAGAUAAUUUAUUUUGUGGGAAAAGAGUGAAGCCUUAUGGUUUUAACACCAAUUCAUGCAGUUAAGAGCUGUCAAAGGUAUGCCAGAAGGUUCAGGUGGCAAUGCAUUGCAUAGAGUGAUGACUACAACUCUAGAAGAGAAAGACCAGGCUGCAUCAUCUGAUGCCAAAGGGCCAAAGACUAAUGUUGGUGCAGAUCUUAUGCAAGAUGAAAGAGGUAUCACUGAAGAAGCGAGGCCUGUUACUUUAGAAGGUAUUCAUGACUCAGAAGGUGCUGGUGAAGCUCAAAAUUUGGAGAUAUCUUGCAUAGCUAUAGAUAACCAUGAAAGUUCUGGAAAGCUGAAGGCCUCCCAAGAAAGAUAUAGACCGUUAGAUGAUUCUGUACUCUAUUCUGAUGGCAGCCAGGAUUCUGCAAUUAAGAAACAAAAGACGGUAUUGGUUUUGGAUUUAGGUACAAAGUCUUCUGAAGCUAUACCAAGUCAGGAUCAUGCCAGUUCUGAAAGUACUAAAAGUAGGAACCAUCAUGUUGGUACUCCUAAUGAAAAUGAAGCUCAAAUUACGGCCAAAAACAAUCAAAAUGAAUCUGAUGAACGGGUUUCAGUAACUUUUGCCUGUUCUGCUAGUGCUUCCAGUGAUAAGACCGAGGAUAAUCUAAGUGAUGGAGCCACAGAUGUUGCAAAGGUGCCUGAAUUGAAGUGGUCAUCUUCUGAUUGGAAACCUAUUGAGAGAGAAUUGUAUUUGAAGGGAGUGGAGAUAUUUGGGAGAAACAGGUAGGAAGGGAUUACAACUUUUGUCAAUCUUUUUCUUAGCAUAAAAUGCAAAUAGAUGUUGGUUGUGUUAAAUAUAAAUCCAUAUAAAUAUUCAUGUUGGUAUCUUUGGAGUUGGUUUCUGCAGUUCUAAAUUUUUAGUGGACUAAUCUGCAAAAGCUUCCUUAGAAGAACUAAAAUGCGCAUAGCAAAAAAACUCAUAAUGAAAAUUGUGUAACAUGCUUAUAUUUUUACAAUUAACCUGCUUUACUUUCUGAUCUUGAUGAACUUGUUAUGUUUAGGCAGUUGUAAUUCCAGAUAUCUUUCUUCUCCCUUCUAGAUAACAAUAUUCAUAUGUCCAUUUAUCAUGUUUCUACUAAUGCAUGAUCCCAUGCUUUACGGUUGCCUUAUAUCCGGGAAUUUGCUUUCUGGUUUGAAGACUUACAUAGAGGUGUCAAGUUACAUUUGUGAUGUGGAGCUUCAACACUUCAUAGGUCCAUCGUGACAAGUUCAUUUUUGGAAGAAAAUGGGAAAUAGGAAACAGAUUACAUGGUAUUUACCAGAACUCUCUAUUUCCUCCUAUUGCAUGGUCUUUCUUUAAUAAAGGGGUGAAAAGAAAAGGUCUCCAACCAUCACGAUUCUCUUGAGGCCAUAUCGGUGAUACUAUCACCUUUACAAGCUACAAUUGCAAGCAUUCCCUUUAACACUUUGCUUUAUGUUUAAAUGCUUACCAAUUGAAAAAAAAAUUAUAAAAUUAUCCUCUGAAACUUUUGUAUUACAAAGAAAGUUUGAGAAUCCAUAGAUACUGAGUGGCAUUAACACUUCACAGUAUGUCCUUGGUGCUUACCGCGAAGGAGACAAAUUGAAAUUUGCGAACCAUACUUCUAAUCUAAAUUGCUAUGCGAAGGUAUACAACUGUCUGCAAUUCUUUUGAGGACAUUUCUUAUUGGUUUAGCUAAUACCUUAGCUUGCACAGGUAAUGUUGGUGGCUGGAGAUCAUCGAGUAGGAAUUUUUGCCAAGAAGCGCAUUGAAGCUAGUGAAGAGCUCUUUUAUGAUUAUCGUUAUGGCCCAGAUCAAGCACCUGCAUGGGCUAGGAAACAUGAAGGUUCCAAGAGAGAUGAUACAUCAGUCUCUCAAGGUAGAGCAAAGAAACACCAGUCUCAUUGAUGCACUGUUGACUGGUUUAGCAUGUGCACCUUAGUAAAACAACAACCAGUCUCAAGGUUGUUGUUUCUAUAUUAUUACCUUCAGUUUUUCCCAUCUUCACCUUAGUAAAAGAAGUUUUUUCAUGAGCAAGCAUAUAGGAUAUUGUCAUUAUGUGUGUAUAGUUGCAUAAGUCAGGAAAUUAGAUAAAAAUAAGGUUUAAGCAUUUAUUAUGCCAACAAGCUAGGUAGCAAUUCAAUACAUAUAGGAAUUGGUGGGAGAAAGCAUGUAUGAAUCUUAUAGAAAUAAUGGAAGUCUUUUCUUUAUUAUGAUAGCUAUUUGCAUUUUUCCAUGGCAUGCAUUUAGUUUUUCCUUUUUGAUACUUUUGACCUUAACAUGACUGCUUUGCACCAAUUUACCAGAGAUUUCCCACAUCCCCCAGUUAAUUCGGCUUCUUUCUGUCGCGGCUGAAAGGCUUUCUCUUCAAUAUACCAGCUUCCCCGGGAUUAUUAAUUUUUUAUUGCAUUGCCAACAGGUCAAUUGCCAAUAUUGAUAAUUACAAUAAAUUUUUAGCUUAAUAUCAAUUCGUCUUUUUUUACUAUUAUUUUUAAUUUAAUUAAACUUUCCAAACGAUGGAGUCCAAGGGCUGGAACUUGGGACACCCGCCUAAAAGAGUAAAUAGCCGUGUGAGGGUUUUUUUUUAUUAUUAUUAAAUAACUAAGCAGGCUCUGUAACAGAUUAAAAGGAGACCUUCAUGUUUCUGAAUGAAUUAUUUUCAAUCAGAAAUAUGAAUUUGACUCGAAACAGAAGAACCUCAUCCAAAAAUAUUAUAUUUUGCAUGCUAUUUGACAAUAUCACAAGCUGAAAGAAUUGAAAGAAUAUACAUGCUGAUGGCUGAGGAUCACGAUCGAAUUUUUGAGUGAUACUUGGGACUUUUGUUUGGAUUGCAAAUGGAAAUACAAAUUUUAAUUCCAUGUAUCUUGAACACCAGGAAGACACCUAUGGCUGCAAUCUUGAAUGUUGGAAGAGUAGCUAUUCCCCGAUUUUUUUCCCAUAUUGAUGGAUGACCAUCUAUCCUGUACGCAAAUAAACCAGUCACAUUUAGCAAUGUUACAGGAGUUAUCAUCUGCAAAAUGACCUCCACAAUUUUGUUCUUCUCAGGGUAUAUCAUGCCUUAAGUGUCAUCAAGGGGCCAAGCUGCUUCCAUAAAGUGGCCACCUGAAUUCCACUGCCCUUCCUUAUAUCAUCCUGUUUUAUCCAUCAUCAUAUACAUCAAACAUAAUCUAAUAGUUUUGCAACUUAAACAACCAACCUAAGAUAAAAGAGUAAUAAAUAGGUCAUUCUAAUUUCUCACAAUUUGCUUAAGAUCCCACAAUAUUCAAAUUUCGAGUUUCAGAGUUUGCCAACUAAAUUUGAUCGGCUAAUGUGUAUUAAUACGCUUCAAAUGAGAAAGUGGGGAAGAUAGGAAAAUAAGCACCAUGUUUACGUGGUUGUAGAUCACAUAGGCCAUCUGCCAGGUAACUGUGCUUUAAAGUUUCCAACUAAUCGGCAUUCAGGGGUUGCAGUAGUAUAUGAUGUUGACAACAAUUAUCUAGGAUUAUUAAAAUUGAUGCAUUGAAAUUUAUGGUAUUUGCUGUUUUGCUACCAAUCACCGUCAGUCCAAUUUCAGUUCUCGGAGGCCAAAACUCAGGAAUGUGAUCUACAAACAAAAAAUCGGUAAGUGUAAUUAAGUUGAUGAAUCUGUUCUUCAAUAAACUGUGGCGAAAAUAAAGACCAGAAAGAACUGAGGAAUUAUUAAGUUACCACAUUAAUAACGUUGGCUUUGAAUGGAGCUGUUCACUUUCAAAAUCAUCUGUCAGCUCUGCAGCACUGCCUCCACUGGCACCAACUGCUUUCUUUUCAGACUUGGCAACUUCAUUGCUUGCUCCAUCUUUGCUCGUAUCAAUAUCUGCACUCACUUCAGAAGUGUUUGAUACACAAUGCUUUUGAAGCCAUCUAUCAGUUUCCCAGAGGACAUGCAUGAUACUUUCUCGAGCAGCAUAGCCAUGGCUCUCAAAGGGUAGAAUGACAAGGCGACAAAGAGCUCCAUGGCCCUUUAGAGCAUUGAAGAAACGAUCUGACUGCAUUGUAUGGAUAUGCCCAACAAGUUGGCGAGCAAACAAGUAAAGGAAGAGAUCAAUGAUAAGUCAAAUAGGUAAAAAAAAAUAUUUAAAAUCUGAAAGGACACGGAACAGGUUCUGCUGCAUUUGUGGCAAGAUAAAGGGAAGCAAAAAAGGGAUGGAAGAGGGCUACCUAACAAAGCAUAAUUCAACAAAUGGAUAAUGGGCGAAAUAAAUAAACUUUCCAAGUAAAUUAUUCUGUGGUUGGUUGAUAAAUCAGGUAGAACAUUAUACGUAGAAGGGCCACCAGCGAGGGUGUGGAAAGCAAUAUACCUGCAUGGUUAGUGUUCCAGGGUUAUUGUCUUCUUCUCCAUGGAUAAGCAAGAUUGGCUUCUUGAUUUUAUUUGCAGACAUUAAUGGGCUCAUCUCUACAUAGGUAUUAGUUGCCUCCCAAAGAGUUCUAUCCUCAUUCUGCGCCAAUGAGAGGAAGCCAAGAAUCCAUCCAUAGAGACAAGAUGAAGAUAGAGAAGAAAGGAUAACAAUUGUACAGGUGAUAAUAUUGAAAAGCUGAUAGGCAUUAUGCAUUGCAUUAAAUAUAGAUAAAUGCUCUAGUUCACUACCUGAAAACCGAAGGGUGUAAGGGUUCUGUUGUAAGCUCCAGACCGAGCAAUCCCACAACAGAAAAGGUGAGGAGCAUGCACCAGAAGGUUUGCCGUCAUGAAUGCUCCAUAGGAAUGUCCCCCAACAGCAAUUUUGUUAGGAUGAGCUACCUAAACACAUGCAGCAUCAGAAAAGCUCAAGUCAGAAAUUUAACCGUAUGCUGCCAAUGGUGAUAAUAUGUGAGGGAAUGAAGAUGCAUACUCCACGUCGAAUAACUUCCUCAACAGCUGCCUCUGCACUUGAAACCAGUUGCUCUACAUACCUACACAGAUAGUAAAUAUGAUGGGAUAUACAUACCCACACGCACAAAUGUGUAUAUAUAAUCAUACAAGUAGUUGCAUUACCUAUCAUUUGCUUCUUCAUCCCCUUCACCAAUAAUUGGGAUUGUUGGCCCAGAUAAAAUAGCGAAUCUGCAAAGCAGCAAAUAUGGGUAACCAUAAUUUAGUCUAUUGGCAGGCAGCUCAAAUUGAAAACCCAGUGAAAGGCAAACGAAAACACAAAAAGUGUAAAUAGCAAAUAUGAAAAGAAGAAUUCCAUGCCUUCUAGCAAGCCAAAGGAGAGCUGAUGUUGGACCUAUGCCAGCAAACUCAUUAGGAGAACCGCGAACUUGUCCAGCUGCAUCUUUGCUUUUAAAUUCCCCUGGGUAAGACCAAACCAAACAUGGAAGAGGGCCCUCUUUUGACGGAUCAUAGCCUGGUGGCAAGUACAAUGUUGCAGUAAGUUGAACCCCAUCCUUUCUCUGGUAUCUAACCAUCUCUUUCUGCAAUGAUGCCAACUGUGGAUAUGGAUGAGGGAAGUCCGUGAUCUGACAUAAUUUCCUAUCUGGCCAACUUUGAAUGUAAUAUUGGGUAUUCUCAGUUUUUGACUCUUUAGAAGUAAGUAUCUUCAGGUCGUUAAUGCAUAUAUCCCCUUCUUUCUCAUCAGACAUCAAAGCAACAACGCCCUCAUAAUACUUUUCCUUGUCACUCUCCCAUAUUCGUUCUUUGCUGCCUGUAUUUCUGGAAGAAUUUGUUUUAGAUCACAGUGGCACUAAUGGACCCGCAACAAGAACACAACAAAAGGUGAAUUCUUAAAUACUUACAUGUCAAACAAAUCAAGGAAGGGGAUGUUCCCCUCUGGCGUAGCACCAUUUCCAUUCAGCAAAAUAUUCGCUCCUUCAUCGUUUUCCUUCCUUAGUUUGGCUAUCACAUAAGUCCCAGCAGGGGUUCUCCUGAGCAUGGGAGAACCAGGAUCAGAGUACACAUCCUCAGAUGACCUAUCAAAAAGUAUGCGAGGACUCACAUCUUUUGAUCCAGGAGAUAUCACCCAGGUUCUUGUUCGACGCGUCUUGUACCACGACUCGUAGACCAGAGCAAGUGAAUCAUCACACCAUGAAAUCCCUCUGUCAAUAUGAAGAAUCACACAGAUUAGGUAACAUUGUUGGAUCUUCAAAACAAAACAAUAGCUUGCCAUUGACCCUAUAAACAAUACUUGAAUUUAUUUUCCAGCAAGGCGCAGCUUGAUCUACUCCUCAACACUUAAUAAGCUUAUCAUUGCUUUGCCAUAUGCUAUAGAGUUAGAACGAUGCAUCAAAUACAUGGCAGUUAAGUCAUAUAGAUGCAUGCUAAGAAAAUCCUUUAUCCCCACAUUUGCUGGACGAACUCAAAUAUAUUUAUGUUAGGAAAUGAAAUAAGCACCAAGGGAUGGUGAUCAAACAUACAUUAGAUAGUAGCAAUUCAGUUAAGCGGACAUGUCUUACUCCAUCAAUUACAAGUCUUGAUUCAUUUUUAAAUUCCUGUAAUUUGAUGAUAUAUUUUUUAUAUCAGCAAGCAGUUAAACACAAAGUUCAUAACUAAGCGGUUUUGAGACAUCAUUGCAAAUACAGGAAAAAAAAAAGCUCAGCUAUAUUCAUCAAUUUAAUCAAUAUGCAGAAACCUACAAAGAUAAAUAUAAGAAAUGAAACAUGUAUACCUACCCAUAGCGAAGAUCAAGUAUGUGUAAGAUUUUUGGCUGUUCACCUUCUUGUGGUUCUGCAGGCUGUGUAUAAAUUAUAUCACGUGGCGAAACUUCCACUUUCGCAUCGCCUCCAUCUUGUGUCUCUGCCCUAAAAACUUCAGCAGAGUCAGGGAAAUAAAAUUUCAUAGAGAAACAACUUCAUCAAGAAACAAUUAAAAUUUAUCACUGAAGUUAGUGGUUACUUCAAAUCUAUACAUGUCAAUCACAUAAUUACACCUAACAUCUACCAUGUGCUCAUGAUUUCACAGCUUUGCACUCUGACUUCAUAAAAUAAUUAGAAGUCAGACCAUCUAUAGUCCCAUAUAAUUACAGUCAAUUUCAUCUUUUUUCUUUUUUAAAGAAAACAUCAAUUUCAUCUUUACAAAUGCAUAAAUGAGUAAAUGAUAUAGAUAUAUACCAGUAUAUAGUAGAAGGCUUAUCUGCUCUCCAAUUGAUUGACCUCAUCCCUUUUCGCACACUAUUGAAUGCAAUAGGAAUGUCCUCUGCAAGGGGCAAGUCACAGAGUUCUCUAACAAAUUUCCCAUCAGUUGUCCACACAUCCACUUUCUUGGGGAACCUUCCACAUGGUACAAUAAAAGAAUAUGGCCUAUGAAUCGAACUAAUCAAAAGGUACUUCUCAUCAGGGGAAGGAUCCAUAGAUGUGUAAACAGCUGGUGUACCAAUCUCCUUCACUGUACCAUCCAAAGAAGCCAAAACAAGCUGAGAGGUGGCAUAGUAAUCAAAUAAAUCCUCAUCAUACUCAUCCUUCAGCAAAUCCUGGAAUGUUCUAAGUUGAAUGACAUUUUUCUGCUCAUUGGAUUGAAUCUUGGGGCCAGAAGGAACCAAAGGUU
This 15388-nucleotide long non-coding RNA is filed under the name Durio zibethinus. Its description in RNAcentral is "long non-coding RNA (DZIB_LNC000514)". The record is from RNAcentral. Lineage: Eukaryota; Viridiplantae; Streptophyta; Magnoliopsida; Malvales; Malvaceae.